UUAUGGUAUGAAAGGAAAGAAGGCCAGCAUUCCAUUUGAUUAGGGUGGAAAAGGUCCUAGUGACCUUUACGACACAUAUAUAUUCAAGGCCUUGCUACCUGCUCCGUAGCAUCUAACAAUAUCA
Trichosurus vulpecula (common brushtail) is the source of this 124-nucleotide small nuclear RNA. The record is from RefSeq and is a predicted model, not a curated record. NCBI's taxonomy places the organism in Eukaryota, Metazoa, Chordata, Mammalia, Diprotodontia, Phalangeridae.